GACCCCAGGUCAGGCGGGACUACCC
This 25-nucleotide ribosomal RNA is filed under the name Ixanthus viscosus. RNAcentral's name for it is "partial 26S ribosomal RNA". Lineage: Eukaryota; Viridiplantae; Streptophyta; Magnoliopsida; Gentianales; Gentianaceae. The record is from RNAcentral. RNAcentral also lists the same sequence under 2 other names.